RNAcentral lists this ribosomal RNA (486 nucleotides) under uncultured soil bacterium. RNAcentral describes it as "bacterial SSU rRNA". It matches the Rfam family "Bacterial small subunit ribosomal RNA", at positions 26 to 506 of the family's 1533-position model. The record is from RNAcentral.
AGAUUGAACGCUGGCGGCAUGCUUUACACAUGCAAGUCGAACGGUAACAGGCCGCAAGGUGCUGACGAGUGGCGAACGGGUGAGUAAUGUAUCGGAACGUGCCCAGUCGUGGGGGAUAACGCAGCGAAAGCUGCGCUAAUACCGCAUACGAUCUACGGAUGAAAGCGGGGGACCGUAAGGCCUCGCGCGAUUGGAGCGGCCGAUAUCAGAUUAGGUAGUUGGUGGGGUAAAGGCUCACCAAGCCAACGAUCUGUAGCUGGUCUGAGAGGACGACCAGCCACACUGGACUGAGACACGGCCCAGACUCCUACGGGAGGCAGCAGUGGGGAAUUUUUGGACAAUGGGCGCAAGCCUGAUCCAGCAAUGCCGCGUGCAGGAAGAAGGCCUUCGGUUGUAAACUGCUUUUUGUACGGAACGAAACGGUCCUAGUUAAGUACCGUGGGCUAAUGAACGUUACCGUAAGAAUAAGCACCGGACUAACUACGU